UCCCAGGUGGCUCAGUGGUAAAGAAUCUGCCUGCCGAGCAGGAGACGCAGGCUCGAUCCCUGGGUUGGGAA
RNAcentral lists this transfer RNA (71 nucleotides) under Bos taurus (domestic cattle). It matches the Rfam family "tRNA". From Rfam's summary of the family: Transfer RNA (tRNA) molecules are approximately 80 nucleotides in length. Their secondary structure includes four short double-helical elements and three loops (D, anti-codon, and T loops). The record is from Rfam by way of RNAcentral. Lineage: Eukaryota; Metazoa; Chordata; Mammalia; Artiodactyla; Bovidae. RNAcentral also lists the same sequence under 4 other names.